This 71-nucleotide transfer RNA is filed under the name Trissolcus japonicus. RNAcentral's name for it is "tRNA-Gln". The record is from RNAcentral. Lineage: Eukaryota; Metazoa; Arthropoda; Insecta; Hymenoptera; Scelionidae.
UGUAUUUUAGUGAUAAAUAUCAUAAAAAAUUUUGAAUUUUUUGAAAAUAAUUUUUUAAUUAUUAAAUACAA